GACUGAGUGGCGGACGGGUGAGUAACGCGUGGGUAACCUGCCUUGUACAGGGGGAUAACAGUUGGAAACGGCUGCUAAUACCGCAUAAGCGCACGGCAUCGCAUGAUGCAGUGUGAAAAACUCCGGUGGUAUAAGAUGGACCCGCGUUGGAUUAGCUAGUUGGUGAGGUAACGGCCCACCAAGGCGACGAUCCAUAGCCGACCUGAGAGGGUGACCGGCCACAUUGGGACUGAGACACGGCCCAAACUCCUACGGGAGGCAGCAGUGGGGAAUAUUGCACAAUGGGCGAAAGCCUGAUGCAGCGACGCCGCGUGAGCGAAGAAGUAUUUCGGUAUGUAAAGCUCUAUCAGCAGGGAAGAUAAUGACGGUACCUGACUAAGAAGCACCGGCUAAAUACGUGCCAGCAGCCGCGGUAAUACGUAUGGUGCAAGCGUUAUCCGGAUUUACUGGGUGUAAAGGGAGCGCAGGCGGUGCGGCAAGUCUGAUGUGAAAGCCCGGGGCUCAACCCCGGUACUGCAUUGGAAACUGUCGUACUAGAGUGUCGGAGGGGUAAGCGGAAUUCCUAGUGUAGCGGUGAAAUGCGUAGAUAUUAGGAGGAACACCAGUGGCGAAGGCGGCUUACUGGACGAUAACUGACGCUGAGGCUCGAAAGCGU
RNAcentral lists this ribosomal RNA (655 nucleotides) under uncultured bacterium. Its description in RNAcentral is "bacterial SSU rRNA". It matches the Rfam family "Bacterial small subunit ribosomal RNA", at positions 89 to 762 of the family's 1533-position model. The record is from RNAcentral.